This 196-nucleotide ribosomal RNA is filed under the name uncultured bacterium. Its description in RNAcentral is "partial 16S ribosomal RNA". It matches the Rfam family "Bacterial small subunit ribosomal RNA", at positions 326 to 539 of the family's 1533-position model. The record is from RNAcentral.
ACGCUCGACACUACGGGAGCAGCAGUCGGGAAUAUUGCGCAAUGGAGGAAACUCUGACGCAGUGACGCCGCGUAUAGGAAGAAGGUUUUCGGAUUGUAAACUAUUGUCGUUAGGGAAGAAAAAGACAGUACCUAAGGAGGAAGCUCCGGCUAACUACGUGUCAGCAGCCGCGGUAAUCUGAGCGGGCUGGCAAGGC